CAUUAUUGAAUAAAAACUUGAGCAGGCUGUCUGCUGGCCCCUUGGGGUAUGUGCACGCUUGUUCUUUGUUAUUUCUCCAACUUGUGCACAUUUUGUAGACCCUGGAGCCUUGUGGAUUUUAAUAUUCCGAGUCGGGACUGCUGUGCUUCCUCUUUGUGAAGUCGGCUUUGCCUUGCAUCUCCAGGUCUAUGUCAUUUAUUUUCACAACCAUGUUUAGAAUGUUGGGAUCAGGUCUUUUUGUACCUAUAGAAAUGAAAUAUACAACUUUCAGCAACGGAUCUCUUGGCUCUCGCAUCGAUGAAGAACGCAGCGAAAUGCGAUAAGUAAUGUGAAUUGCAGAAUUCAGUGAAUCAUCGAAUCUUUGAACGCAUCUUGCGCUCCUUGGUAUUCCGAGGAGCAUGCCUGUUUGAGUGUCAUUCAACUUCUCAACCACAUUCGUUCAUUUGAUUGUGGCUUGGAUGAUGGGGGUUUUUGUUCGCAGGCUUCUUAAUUAAUCUGAGAGGUCGGCUCCCCUGAAAUGUAUCAGUGGUAUCUGAGGCUAUUGCUAUAGGUGUGAUAAUUAUCUAUGCCC
Molecule: ribosomal RNA, 571 nt
Filed under: Inocybe fuscidula
Lineage: Eukaryota; Fungi; Basidiomycota; Agaricomycetes; Agaricales; Inocybaceae
Description: eukaryotic LSU rRNA
Rfam family: 5.8S ribosomal RNA (bases 263-416)
Source: RNAcentral